AUGAAAGGGCGCCGCAGGCCAGGCCGCCCCGCGCGGGUUCAGAACUUUCUGCGACUUAAAUCAGUUCCUGAGCUCGCAGGCCGGCCGCGCGGCCAUCGGAAACAAGCUCGGGAAAAGAGAUCCCGACGCAGGGCGGCCAGGCCUGCCUCCAGGCCGAACGUCCCUGCUCCGUGCCUGCCCGCGGGGCCGGGGUCCCCACGGUGCCUGCACGGCCUCGCCCGGCCGGCUCCGGGCGAGCGCACUUCCGAGCGCGCCCCGGGGCCCGGGCAGGUGAGAACCCGCCCGCGCCGCACCUGGCGGGGUUGGCGGCGCCCGCGCGCCCUGCUCGCCGGCCCGGGACGCGCGGGACGGGGCCCGGCGUCCCGGGAGGGGCCGGGCGGGCGAGACAAAGGGCCGCGCGCGGCCCCGGGCGGCGGGCGCGGCGGGGCGGCGGGCCCGCGGCGCGCGCCCCAACUCGCCCCCAACUUGCAAAGUCGCUUCGGCGGCGGCGCGGCGCACUUGGCCGCGGGGCCAACCGAGUCGCCCGGACGCCCGGGCCAUUGUCCCCGGCCCGCGCCCACCUACCCGCGGCGGGGCCAGGCUGCAGCAGAGCGCGAGCAGCAGCAGCAGCGGCGGCGGAGGAGGAGCGGGAGACCGGGGCGGCGCCGCCUCCAUGUUGUCCGGAGCCGGACGGGCCCGCGCCGCGCUCACUCGGCUCCAUGGCGGGGUUGGCGGCGCCCGCGCGCCCUGCUCGCCGGCCCGGGACGCGCGGGACGGGGCCCGGCGUCCCGGGAGGGGCCGGGCGGGCGAGACAAAGGCCCGCGCGCGGCCCCGGGCGGCGGGCGCGGCGGGGCGGCGGGCCCGCGGCGCGCGCCCCAACUCGCCCCCAACUUGCAAAGUCGCUUCGGCGGCGGCGCGGCGCACUUGGCCGCGGGGCCAACCGAGUCGCCCGGACGCCCGGGCCAUUGUCCCCGGCCCGCGCCCACCUACCCGCGGCGGGGCCAGGCUGCAGCAGAGCGCGAGCAGCAGCAGCAGCGGCGGCGGAGGAGGAGCGGGAGACCGGGGCGGCGCCGCCUCCAUGUUGUCCGGAGCCGGACGGGCCCGCGCCGCGCUCACUCGGGCUCCAUGGCGCGGCUGCCGGGCCUCGCGCGGCUCCGGGCGCCUGCCGCCUCCCCUCGGGCGCCGCGGGCCAGGACGACGGGGAGGAGGGAGGAGGCGCGGGAGCGGAAGCCGAGCCGCGUCUCCGCCCCCGCCGCCGCCGCCGCCGCCGCCCUCCGCGCCCCCAGCGCCGGCCGCGCCCUCCUGCGGGCGCCCCGGAGCCGGCCCGCUGCGAGGCGACCGCCGCGCGCGGGUCCCAGCGCUCUGCCCGCGCCCCUGCCCCCGGGGCCGGGCGCCGGGGCUCCGCGGGGCGGGAGCCCGGUUUGCACCCUGCAGGGCCUGGGGCCGGAUCGAGCCCCGGAAGCAGGUGUGUCACCUGUUAAGAGCGGCCAGGACCGAGCUCGCCCGGUGGGGAAACUGAGGCACGGGGCCUGGUGUGCGAAAGGGCUUGCCCCAGGGCACGCGCGGUCAGGCAUUUUCGGGGCUGGAAGCCAGGGGCCCCUAGCCAGGUGCGCGCGCUUUCCGGCGACCGCAGCCACCCCAGCAGGGUCCUCCUCGGGCGGUCCCACGACACCUAUGCUCACCGGGAGGGGCCUGGAAGGCGACCACAGGCGGGGCCGGGGCAGGGACAGAAGCGGGUGA
Molecule: long non-coding RNA, 1719 nt
Filed under: Bos grunniens (domestic yak)
Lineage: Eukaryota; Metazoa; Chordata; Mammalia; Artiodactyla; Bovidae
Description: lncRNA (ENSBGRG00000009736.1)
Source: RNAcentral